CCGGGGUGGUGGGCGCCGCGGUCGGCGUCGCCGCCGCCGGGCUCGCCGCGGGGGUGGUGAGCGAGCGGGUCCUGGUCCGCCGCCUCAAG
Molecule: transfer RNA, 89 nt
Filed under: Micromonospora sp. MH33
Lineage: Bacteria; Bacillati; Actinomycetota; Actinomycetes; Micromonosporales; Micromonosporaceae
Description: tRNA-Gly
Source: RNAcentral